CCUGGCCUUGACAUACUAAGAACUUUCCAGAGAUGGAUUGGUGCCUUCGGGAACUUAGAUACAGGUGCUGCAUGGCUGUCGUCAGCUCGUGUCGUGAGAUGUUGGGUUAACGUCCGCAACGAGCGCAACCCUUUUCCUUAUUUGCCAGCGGGUAAUGCCGGGAACUUUAAGGAUACUGCCAGUGACAAACUGGAGGAAGGCGGGGACGACGUCAAGUCAUCAUGGCCCUUACGGCCAGGGCUACACACGUGCUACAAUGGUCGGUACAAAGGGUUGCUACCUCGCGAGAGGAUGCUAAUCUCAAAAAGCCGAUCGUAGUCCGGAUCGCAGUCUGCAACUCGACUGCGUGAAGUCGGAAUCGCUAGUAAUCGCGGAUCAGAAUGCCGCGGUGAAUACGUUCCCGGGCCUUGUACACACCGCCCGUCACACCAUGGGAGUUUGUUGCACCAGAAGUAGGUAGUCUAACCGCAAGGAGGACGCUUACCACGGUGUGGCCGAUGACUGGGGUGAAGUCGUAACAAGGUAAGCGUAGAUGA
This 536-nucleotide ribosomal RNA is filed under the name uncultured bacterium. RNAcentral's name for it is "bacterial SSU rRNA". It matches the Rfam family "Bacterial small subunit ribosomal RNA", at positions 974 to 1509 of the family's 1533-position model. The record is from RNAcentral.